CACGUAGGCGGAUAUUUAAGUCAAGGGUGAAAUCCCAGAGCUCAACUCUGGAACUGCCUUUGAUACUGGGUAUCUUGAGUAUGGAAGAGGUAAGUGGAAUUCCGAGUGUAGAGGUGAAAUUCGUAGAUAUUCGGAGGAACACCAGUGGCGAAGGCGGCUUACUGGUCCAUUACUGACGCUGAGGUGCGAAAGCGUGGGGAGCAAACA
RNAcentral lists this ribosomal RNA (207 nucleotides) under uncultured bacterium. RNAcentral's name for it is "partial 16S ribosomal RNA". It matches the Rfam family "Bacterial small subunit ribosomal RNA", at positions 568 to 774 of the family's 1533-position model. The record is from RNAcentral.